Molecule: ribosomal RNA, 522 nt
Filed under: Peribacillus muralis
Lineage: Bacteria; Bacillati; Bacillota; Bacilli; Caryophanales; Bacillaceae
Description: bacterial SSU rRNA
Rfam family: Bacterial small subunit ribosomal RNA
Source: RNAcentral
UACGGGAGGCAGCAGUAGGGAAUCUUCCGCAAUGGACGAAAGUCUGACGGAGCAACGCCGCGUGAACGAAGAAGGCCUUCGGGUCGUAAAGUUCUGUCGUUAGGGAAGAACAAGUACCAGAGUAACUGCUGGUACCUUGACGGUACCUAACCAGAAAGCCACGGCUAACUACGUGCCAGCAGCCGCGGUAAUACGUAGGUGGCAAGCGUUGUCCGGAAUUAUUGGGCGUAAAGCGCGCGCAGGUGGUUCCUUAAGUCUGAUGUGAAAGCCCACGGCUCAACCGUGGAGGGUCAUUGGAAACUGGGGAACUUGAGUGCAGAAGAGGAAAGUGGAAUUCCAAGUGUAGCGGUGAAAUGCGUAGAGAUUUGGAGGAACACCAGUGGCGAAGGCGACUUUCUGGUCUGUAACUGACACUGAGGCGCGAAAGCGUGGGGAGCAAACAGGAUUAGAUACCCUGGUAGUCCACGCCGUAAACGAUGAGUGCUAAGUGUUAGAGGGUUUCCGCCCUUUAGUGCUGCAGCU